AGUCGCGUGGUCUAAUGGUUAUGAUUUCUCGUUCACAACAUUGUGAGCUUCGCUACCACCAGUAGGAUUCCGAGAAGGUUCCCGGUUCGAUCCCGGGCGCGACUA
This is a non-coding RNA of Aspergillus ochraceoroseus IBT 24754, 105 nucleotides long. NCBI's taxonomy places the organism in Eukaryota, Fungi, Ascomycota, Eurotiomycetes, Eurotiales, Aspergillaceae. The record is from the annotation of a RefSeq genome assembly.